GUGCUCGCUUCGGCAGCACAUAUACUAAAAUUGGAAUGAUACAGAGAAGAUUAGCAUGGCCCCUGCGCAAGGAUGACACACAAAUAGCGGAGGAGAGAAGGCAAGCAAA
Podarcis muralis (Common wall lizard) is the source of this 109-nucleotide small nuclear RNA. NCBI's taxonomy places the organism in Eukaryota, Metazoa, Chordata, Lepidosauria, Squamata, Lacertidae. The record is from Ensembl.